This 440-nucleotide ribosomal RNA is filed under the name uncultured bacterium. RNAcentral's name for it is "partial 16S ribosomal RNA". It matches the Rfam family "Bacterial small subunit ribosomal RNA", at positions 338 to 795 of the family's 1533-position model. The record is from RNAcentral.
CCUACGGGAGGCAGCAGUGGGGAAUAUUGCACAAUGGGGGAAACCCUGAUGCAGCGACGCCGCGUGAGUGAAGAAGUAAUUCGUUAUGUAAAGCUCUAUCAGCAGGGAAGACAAUGACGGUACCUGAGUAAGAAGCCCCGGCUAACUACGUGCCAGCAGCCGCGGUAAUACGUAGGGGGCAAGCGUUAUCCGGAUUGACUGGGUGGAAAGGGAGCGUAGACGGCAGUGCAAGUCUGGAGUGAAAGGCGGGGGCUCAACACCCGGACUGCUCUGGAAACUGUACGGCCGGAGUGCAGGAGAGGUAAGUGGAAUUCCUAGUGUAGCGGUGAAAUGCGUAGAUAUUAGGAGGAACACCAGUGGCGAAGGCGGCUUACUGGACUGUAACUGACGUUGAGGCUCGAAAGCGUGGGGAGCAAACAGGAUUAGAUACCCGUGUAGUC